GUACCCUUAGAUAAGACUUGAGUAGAAUGAUCCCAAUGUUUCUUCCAGUUAUCACACAUUCUUUUUUUAAGACAACUAUGAAUAUCUGUGAAAGGAAUUCCAACUUCAAAAUAUGGGACAGAACCCGCACUAUAAUUUGUUAUCAUGGUUGCUAAAUGGUCAGCUUUUUCAUUGCCCAAUAUGCCAAUGUGGGAUGGAACCCAAACUAGUACAAUAUUUACAUGACAAACUACAUUCAAAUAAUACAAAAGUUGUUUUAUACUAUACACUAAAUAAUUUACAUUUGUUUUAUUUACAUUAUUUUCAAGACUUUUUAAUAGGCUCAUACAAUCAGUGGCAAUAACCCACUUUGAACAAGUAUUUUUAUGCUUAUCUAUAUGUUGCAAUGCAGACAGAACUGCAACAGCUUCAGCAGAAUAUAUGCUCAAGUUGUUAUCAAGUUUAUAUCCAAGUCCAUCUUUCAGGACACUAUCAUAAACAGCAAAAGAUGUGCAUAUAUCAUUUUUAGCCCCAUCUGUAUAAAUGAAUCUAUGAUCUCGCCAAGAAAAAAAUUUUUCAUAUACUUGUUCUUUUCUAUGUAAUUCAGAAUCUAUUACUAUAUUUAUAUCAGGGUAUUUACUUUCAAAUUCACCUUGAUAACAAGGAAAAUGGGAUUCAUUUCGCUGAAUAUGUGCAUCAUGAAGAAAUUGAAGAAACCCAGAUAUAUUUUCAAGAACAAAUGGACAUUUAUUGAAGAAAGUAGAAGAAGCAGAUGACAAAUAAUUAAGAUAAUGAAGUUGUGAAUAAAACACCAAGAAACUUAGCCUCUAACGACAGAACCAAUGGUAAGUUGUUGUAUACUACGGGAGGAAUAGAAGAAUGUUUACCAAAAACCAAAACUUUUGAUUUGGCCGCAUUAACUUCAAGUUUUAAGUAACUAAAAUAUUCAUGUAACUUUGUUAAAGCUAAAUUUAUAUCAGCAAUCACUUGCUGGAUAUUUUUCCCACUAGCGUAUAUUACUAAAUCAUCUGCAAACUGUAAGUUUUUUAUAUUAGUGCCUAAUAUUUCAUUUAAUCUGUGUAUAUACAAAAGAAAUAACAGGGGUGACAAUAUUCCUCCUUGACAAACACCUGUUGAAGAAGACAUAGGACCAUAAAUUUUACCAUUAUAUUUAGCAUAAACCUUUCUAUUUAGUAAGAAAUUAUGAACCCAAUUUACAAUUUUGACAGGUAUACCUAAACCACACAGUUCUUUGAAGAGGACAUCAAUAUCAACACUGUUAAAUGCUCCAGAAAUAUCAAAAAAUACAGCAACAAGACAAUCUUUAUUUACAACACUAUUACAAAUAUCUAAAUGCAAUUGACAGAAGCUUUCAUGUGCAGAUUUACCUUUACGAAAACCAUACUGAUUGUCAGAUAUUAAAUUAUAUUUUUCAACAAAAAAUUCCAAUCUUUGUUUUAACAACUGUUCAAAAAGUUUACCCACGCAUGAAGUGAGAGUUAUUGGGCGAUAAGAAUUAGCAUUGUAUUUAGGUUUUUGAGGUUUUAAUACAGAUCAAAGACAAUGGUGUUGAGCGAUUGAAUGAUUCACAAAGACGGACCCAACUGUUAUGUUUUUCUAUUUUUAAUGUAAGUUUUUUAAAAGCUUGUUGUUUUUUAAAGUUUAUAUAAUUUUCUUGUGAUGGACAAUUUUUAAACUUCACA
Bombyx mori (domestic silkworm) is the source of this 1682-nucleotide long non-coding RNA. RefSeq lists it as uncharacterized. The transcript has 3 exons. The record is from RefSeq and is a predicted model, not a curated record. Lineage: Eukaryota; Metazoa; Arthropoda; Insecta; Lepidoptera; Bombycidae.